GCGGAUGUGGCGGAAUUGGCAGACGCGUAAGAUUCAGGUUCUUAUAGUCGCAAGGCUGUGCAGGUUCAAGUCCUGUCAUCCGCACCA
RNAcentral lists this transfer RNA (87 nucleotides) under Clostridia bacterium. RNAcentral describes it as "tRNA-Leu". It matches the Rfam family "tRNA". From Rfam's summary of the family: Transfer RNA (tRNA) molecules are approximately 80 nucleotides in length. Their secondary structure includes four short double-helical elements and three loops (D, anti-codon, and T loops). The record is from RNAcentral. Lineage: Bacteria; Bacillati; Bacillota; Clostridia.